Molecule: long non-coding RNA, 1606 nt
Organism: Gorilla gorilla gorilla (western lowland gorilla)
Lineage: Eukaryota; Metazoa; Chordata; Mammalia; Primates; Hominidae
Exons: 4
Source: RefSeq, a predicted model, not a curated record
GGCAAGAUCUCAGCUCCCUGCAACCUCCACCUCCCAGGUUCUAGUGAUUCUUGUGCCUCAGCUUCCCAAGUAGCUGGGACUACAGGCACGCACCACCACGCCAGACUAAUUCAUUAGUAAUCUUUAAAUGCAAAGGAAAACCACACGGAGACACCGCUUUGCGCUCAUUAGGAUAGCUAUGAUAAAAAAGAUAGACAACAAGUGUUGGUGAAAAUGUAGAGAAAUUAGGACCCUCCUGCACUGAAAGUGGGAGUGUAAAAUGGUGCAGCCCUUUUGGAAAACAGUUUGGCAGUUCCUCAAAAAGUUAUGAUAACAGAGUUACCAUAGGAUCCAGCAAUUCUACUCCUAGGUAUAUGACCGAGGAAUUGAAAACAAGUGUUCAGACAAAAACGUACACAGGCUGUUCACAGCAGCACUGUUCCCAAGAGCCAAGAGGUAGAAACAAUCCAAACGUGCAUCAGUUGAUAAACGGAUAAGCAAAAUGUGGUGUUACCACACAAUGGAAUAUUAUUUGGCCAUAAAAAGAAAUGAAGUAGUGAUACGUGCUACAACUUGUUGCCACACACUAGAGGGAGAGAGGAUUGGGGAGUGACUGCUAAUGGGUACAGGGUUUCUUUUUGGGAUGAUUAAAAUAUGCUAGAAUUAGUAGUGAUAAUGGUUGCACAGUUCUGUAAAUAUACUAAAACUACUUACUUGCAUGUUUUAAAAGAGUGAAUUUGUGGUAUGUGAUUCUUUUUUCCCAGCUUUCUUGAGGUAUGAUUGACAAAAUUGUGUAAAUGUAUGGUGUGCAACAUGCUGAUUUGAUGUACAUAUACAUUGUGAAAUGAGUGCCCCCAUCGUGUUAGUUAACACAUCUGUCACCUCACCUACUUACAUUUGUGUGUGUGUGUGUGUGCUAAAAACAUUUAAGAUCUUUACCAGACCCAAAAGUUUUUAAUUACAUGCAAAUUAAGAGGUGUGUUAUUCAGAAUGCUCUAGAAAAGAACAAAUGCCGAGUUGUUGCCAUGGAAAGGGGUGGUAACUUGCAGCUCAUUGCCAUGGCAUUUGUAAACUGUCAUGGCACUGGUGGGAGUGUCUUAUGCUAAUGAGCAGCAAGGGUAAAUAGAGGUUGCCUUUGGCACCAUCUGCUGGUUUCUUUACUUCAUCCUGGGACCAGGAAGUAAGUCCUGCUGGUCUCCUAUGUCGCCUCCGCAGGCAUAGACAGAAAUGGGAACUUCUCUUUUGCUCCCCACAAAACAACCAGAGCAUGGAACAUAUGAAGUAAAGAAUAAUAUUUAUUGAAUGAAGAAAUGAAUUUAACCCUGCAGGCCUAGGUGGGAGCUUCCAGUGCCUCUUGUCAUCAUGCUGGUAUGUCCAGGAAGUGGGAGGUGGCACCAAUGUGUAGCCACCCUGCCUGAGCCCACCAGCCUUGGAGUCAGAACACCCUGGGGUAAAUCCUGGCUCAGCUCUUCUCAGCUAUGUGAUCUCAGCCACCACCACUGAGCCAUGUGGUUAUCCCAUCCAGCCUGCCACCACUGGACUGUAUGUACCGCGGUUCUCCUAUCCAGCCCACCACCACUGGAAUCUCUCUCCUGUAUGUAAGCCCCAAAUAAAACCUCAUGUCUCA